AAGUGUCUUGGGAAACUGCCUCGGUAAAACGGGGGAGGAAGUGGGGAUGACGUCUGGUCCGCAUAGCCCUUAUGUCCUGGGCUACACACGCGCUACAAUGGUCGGCACAAUGGGAAGCCAAAUCGUAAGAUGGAGCUAAUCCUCUAAAACCGAUCUCAGUUCGGAUUGUGGGCUGAAACUCGCCCACAUGAAGUUGGAUUUGCUAGUAAUCGUGGAUCAGCCAUGCCACGGUGAAUACGUUCUCGGGCCUU
This 251-nucleotide ribosomal RNA is filed under the name uncultured candidate division WS6 bacterium. Its description in RNAcentral is "partial 16S ribosomal RNA". It matches the Rfam family "Bacterial small subunit ribosomal RNA", at positions 1134 to 1382 of the family's 1533-position model. The record is from RNAcentral.